CACGUAUUUAGCCGGAGCUUCUUAGUCAGGUACCGUCAUUUUCUUCCCUGCUGAUAGAGCUUUACAUACCGAAAUACCUCUUCGCUCACGCGGCGUCGCUGCAUCAGGGUUUCCCCCAUUGUGCAAUAUUCCCCACUGCUGCCUCCCGUAGGAGUUUGGGCCGUGUCUCAGUCCCAAUGUGGCCGGUCACCCUCUCAGGUCGGCUACUGAUCGUCGCCUUGGUAGGCCGUUACCCCACCAACCAGCUAAUCAGACGCGGGCCCAUCUUGCACCACCGGAGUUUUUCACACUGUCUCAUGCGAGACCGUGCGCUUAUGCGGUAUUAGCAGCCGUUUCCAGCUGUUGUCCCCCUGUGUAAGGCAGGUUGCCCACGCGUUACUCACCCGUCCGCCACUCAGUCAUAUGAACCUUCAUUCCGAAAAAUCAAGUUCUAAUGACUUCGUUCGACUUGCAUGUGUUAGGCACGCCGCCAGCGUUCAUCCUGACGCAGGAUACUAAA
RNAcentral lists this ribosomal RNA (499 nucleotides) under uncultured Lachnospiraceae bacterium. Its description in RNAcentral is "partial 16S ribosomal RNA". The record is from RNAcentral. Lineage: Bacteria; Bacillati; Bacillota; Clostridia; Lachnospirales; Lachnospiraceae.